AUGUCGGUUUCACUAUUGGCAACCGCUCUUUGUAACCGCCUUUGUAUCCGGGUAUAUAUACCCCAAACUUCAUCAAUGAAAGUAACUAUUCCAUCAUUUGCUCCUGCCUCUCUCAUUUUACUUUCACACGUUAUCAGCACGCCUAUGCCGAGAGCCUCGACGAAGAACUCCGAUGAAUUCGUUUCUCCGGAUACGCUGGAACAACCUUCUCCUCGUUUCUUCUUUUCGUCGACCCCGUCGUCCUCUACGACGAUCUAUCCAUCAAUCAUCAACCAAUUAAAUUGGCAGUUCCUUCUCAAUCUUAGAUUCCUUUUCAUCGCAGAUGCAAAGAGUAAGAAGGCCACCAUGAGAAGAAAGCACAAAAUCCUGAGAAUUUACAAUUUCUUGCAUCUACCAUGA
This 399-nucleotide ribosomal RNA is filed under the name Triticum aestivum (bread wheat). RNAcentral describes it as "partial small subunit ribosomal RNA". Lineage: Eukaryota; Viridiplantae; Streptophyta; Magnoliopsida; Poales; Poaceae. The record is from RNAcentral.